RNAcentral lists this ribosomal RNA (658 nucleotides) under Achromobacter sp. Its description in RNAcentral is "bacterial SSU rRNA". It matches the Rfam family "Bacterial small subunit ribosomal RNA", at positions 55 to 707 of the family's 1533-position model. The record is from RNAcentral. Lineage: Bacteria; Pseudomonadati; Pseudomonadota; Betaproteobacteria; Burkholderiales; Alcaligenaceae.
AUGCAAGUCGAACGGCAGCACGGUACUUCGGUCUGGUGGCGAGUGGCGAACGGGUGAGUAAUGUAUCGGAACGUGCCUAGUAGCGGGGGAUAACUACGCGAAAGCGUAGCUAAUACCGCAUACGCCCUACGGGGGAAAGCAGGGGAUCGCAAGACCUUGCACUAUUAGAGCGGCCGAUAUCGGAUUAGCUAGUUGGUGGGGUAACGGCUCACCAAGGCGACGAUCCGUAUCUGGUUUGAGAGGACGACCAGCCACACUGGGACUGAGACACGGCCCAGACUCCUACGGGAGGCAGCAGUGGGGAAUUUUGGACAAUGGGGGAAACCCUGAUCCAGCCAUCCCGCGUGUGCGAUGAAGGCCUUCGGGUUGUAAAGCACUUUUGGCAUGAAAGAAACGUCUCGGGCUAAUACCCCGUGAAACUGACGGUACCUGCACAAUAAGCACCGGCUAACUACGUGCCAGCAGCCGCGGUAAUACGUAUGGUGCAAGCGUUAAUCGGAAUUACUGGUCGUAAAGCGUGCGCAGGCGGUUCGGAAAGAAAGAUGUGAAAUCCCAGAGCUUAACUUUGGAACUGCAUUUUUAACUACCGGGCUAGAGUGUGUCAGAGGGAGGUGGAAUUCCGCGUGUAGCAGUGAAAUGCGUAGAUAUGCGGAGGAAC